Molecule: ribosomal RNA, 253 nt
Filed under: uncultured bacterium
Lineage: Bacteria
Description: partial 16S ribosomal RNA
Rfam family: Bacterial small subunit ribosomal RNA
Source: RNAcentral
UACGUAGGGUGCGAGCGUUAAUCGGAAUUACUGGGCGUAAAGCGUGCGCAGGCGGUUUUGUAAGCCAGGUGUGAAAUCCCCGGGCUCAACCUGGGAAUGGCAUUUGAUACUCGAGGGCUUGAGUACGGGAGAGGAGAGUGGAAUUCCCAGUGUAGAGGUGAAAUUCGUAGAUAUUGGGAAGAACACCGGUGGCGAAGGCGGCUCUCUGGACCGUAACUGACGCUGAGGCGCGAAAGCGUGGGGAGCAAACAGG